UGGGGAAUAUUGCACAAUGGGCGCAAGCCUGAUGCAGCCAUGCCGCGUGUGUGAAGAAGGCCUUCGGGUUGUAAAGCACUUUCAGCGAGGAGGAAGGUGGUGAACUUAAUACGUUCAUCAAUUGACGUUACUCGCAGAAGAAGCACCGGCUAACUCCGUGCCAGCAGCCGCGGUAAUACGGAGGGUGCAAGCGUUAAUCGGAAUUACUGGGCGUAAAGCGCACGCAGGCGGUUUGUUAAGUCAGAUGUGAAAUCCCCGGGCUCAACCUGGGAACUGCAUUUGAAACUGGCAAGCUAGAGUCUCGUAGAGGGGGUAGAAUUCCAGGUGGUAGCGGUGCAAAUGCGUAGAGAUCUGGAGGAAUACCGGUGGCGAAGGCGGCCCCCUGGACG
RNAcentral lists this ribosomal RNA (389 nucleotides) under uncultured bacterium. RNAcentral's name for it is "partial 16S ribosomal RNA". It matches the Rfam family "Bacterial small subunit ribosomal RNA", at positions 355 to 735 of the family's 1533-position model. The record is from RNAcentral.